ACUGGGGAAAAGGAACAAUGGUGACCAUCGCGUCAGCCACCUCAACUGCACCAACUGUGUUUCCUCUGUUACAAUGUGAUUCUGGUACUGGAAACAUGGUCACUGUUGGCUGUCUUGCCACCGGCUUCACACCCUCCUCACUGAUCUUCUCAUGGAGCAAAAAUGGGGCAGCCUUGACAGACUUCAUUCAGUAUCCUGCAGUACAGAAGGGCAACGCUUACACGGGAGUCAGUCAAAUCCAAGUGAGGAGACAGGACUGGGUAGCGAGGCAGCCUUUCCAAUGUGCCGUGGCACAUCCAGCAGGAAACACACAUGUUGUUAUCGUGCCACCACCACCCGUGAUUGUUAAGUUGCCAACACUGAGAGUGUUGGGCUCCUCUGAUGAUGAAAACGAGGCUUCCUUCUCCUGCUUUGCCGAAGAUUUCUCACCUAAACAUUAUGACAUCAAAUGGCUGAAAAAUGAUGAGGACAUCUCCAACAAAUUAUACGAGAUCAAAACACCUUCUCAGGACAGAAAGGAUGAGAAUGGAACGAAACUGUACAGUGUUGCAAGUUUUCUCAGAGUGCCGUCCAGUGAUUGGAGACAGGAUGGCACGACUUUUACAUGUCAGUUUCAGGGGAAAGAUGAAAAAAACAUGCCAACUUUCAAGAAUUCAUCUGUGACCUACAAACAUCAUGAUACAUGUGGCAACUGUGCUGAAGCAGAUGUGGACAUAAAGAUCAUUGGUCCGACACUGGACGACAUGUUUUUAAACAGGAAAGGACAGAUAGUUUGUCGAGUCCAGGUAAACAAGCCAUCUCUCGAGAAGAUUUUGUGGGAAGACGAACAUGGAAACGAGAUGGUUGGCUCCUCAACAACGCCCGUUAAAGAAAAUUCAAACACAUAUAAACUUUCACUUGACAUCUCGUAUGAUGAAUGGAGCCAGGGGAUAAAGCGCGUCUGCAUUGUUGAACAUACAGACUGGAUUGUGCCAUUUAAGAAACCUUAUGAAAGGAAUAUCGGAGGACAGACUCAGCGUCCUUCAGUGUUUAUGCUGCCUCCAGUAGAACAUACUAGAAAAGACAUGGUGACCCUGACUUGCUAUGUGAAAGACUUCUUUCCUCAGGAGGUUUUUGUGUCUUGGCUUGUUGAUGACGAGGAAGUAGACUCAAGCUAUGAGUUCCACACCACAAACCCUUUAGCAAACCAUGGAUCCUAUUCUGCUUAUGGCCAGUUGUUGCUCAGCCUUGAGCAGUGGCGAAAGAAUGACGUGGUGUACAGCUGUGCAGUUCACCACGAGUCUUUGGCUAACACGACUAAAGCUAUUAUCAGGUCCAUCGAGCACAGAACAUAUGAAAAAACCAACCUGGUCAACCUCAACAUGAACAUCCCUGAAACGUGCAAGGCCCAGUAGAUGUUAUUUUGUGUCGCUGUGUCUUCUGCUCUUUGUUGUUGAAUGUUUGUUGCUUGUGAUGUGACAUCGUGUUCGUCUUUUUAAUGCAGAUUCAAAAUCAAAAUAAAAAAAAGCACUUUGCAACUCUGC
Molecule: non-coding RNA, 1523 nt
Organism: Chelmon rostratus (copperband butterflyfish)
Lineage: Eukaryota; Metazoa; Chordata; Actinopteri; Chaetodontiformes; Chaetodontidae
Source: the annotation of a RefSeq genome assembly